GCAGUGAAACAUCAGUUCCCGUACGAUCACCGACGUUAAGCAACGUCGAACCUGGUCAUUACUGAGAUGGGUGACCGCAUGAGAAUAACAGGUACUGUAA
Molecule: non-coding RNA, 100 nt
Organism: Acanthosepion pharaonis
Lineage: Eukaryota; Metazoa; Mollusca; Cephalopoda; Sepiida; Sepiidae
Source: the annotation of a GenBank genome assembly